AAUCUUUGGUUGUUGGGUGGAUUAGUGGCGAACGGGUGAGUAAUACGUGGGUAACCUGCCCUCCUUUUUGGGAUAAGCCUUGGAAACGGGGUCUAAUACCGAAUAUUCUGGCGCUCUCGCAUGGGGGUGUUGGGAAAGCUUUUGUGUGAAGGGGGAUGGGCUCGCGGCCUAUCAGCUUGUUGGUGGGGUGAUGGCCUACCAAGGCGGUGACGGGUAGCCGGCCUGAGAGGGUGACCGGCCACAUUGGGACUGAGAUACGGCCCAGACUCCUACGGGAGGCAGCAGUGGGGGAUAUUGCACAAUGGGCGAAAGCCUGAUGCAGCGACGCCGCGUGGGGGAUGAAGGCUUUCGGGUUGUAAACCUCUUUCGCUAUCGAACAAGGCCCGCUUAGGGUGGGUUGAGGGU
Molecule: ribosomal RNA, 405 nt
Filed under: Actinotignum schaalii
Lineage: Bacteria; Bacillati; Actinomycetota; Actinomycetes; Actinomycetales; Actinomycetaceae
Description: bacterial SSU rRNA
Rfam family: Bacterial small subunit ribosomal RNA
Source: RNAcentral